GAUUGUAAAUUAUAAGGUUUAAUUUACCACAAAACAAUAUGUAAAGGGGUGACAAAAUAUAUAAUGAAUUAUAAAAAAAACAUUUAAGAAUUAUAAGUACUAUACAAGCAUUAUUUCAAGUCUUCCCUCUAUGAUGACCAUUACAGUAUGUAGAGUCACUAAUGAACACUUUUGAACACUAUAAAACAUAACUUAGUAAUAUCCAUUGAAUUAUACAUAACAGUAUAGUUAUCAGCAGUAAAAAAAAUAUAUACACACACAAAGUGAGAUUCACUGCAAAAACUGGAUUAGUACACUACCAUGUUCUGUGUUAUAGUAGUUUUAUGAAACUGAUUUUCAAUUUUUAAUUAAAAAAGAGAAAGAAAUGGCUGAAUUGACAUAUAAUGGCUGAUUUGCAUUGUCAGUAUGCACACAUAAUUGGGACACCACUGACCUCAUUUUCAGAUUACUUAACGAACUGGUUAAAAUUAACUCAAGGAAGAACAUUUGCUAUGAUAUCCAAAGAUUAGGAAGCCAUUGGUCGUUGCUGACACUGUCUUGGCAACAAUAAUUUUGUGGAAUAAAUUGUAAACAAAACACAACCUCUUGCAUUGUACAAUCUCUUGUAUGCCACAAUCUUCUCUCACAGGGUUAACAUUUCCUUGCAUAUCAUAAUCAGUCUUAUAAGAUAGUUUCUUGCAUAAUACAAUCUUUUGUAUAGAACAAUUUUCUGACACAGAGAAAAGUAUCCUGCAUAGCAUUGUCUCUCUCAUACAAUCUCUCGCAGAACAUAAAAUCUCCAACCUCCCACCUAAUUACAGUUCCUGCGUAGAUAUGUCAGAAGGAGGUGUUAAUGAGGUUCCAGAUGUACCAAAGAAACAAAAAGUGUGAACAUAAAGUCAUACACACAAUUUGUCUGUAAAUAGACCAAUAAAC
Non-coding RNA from Biomphalaria pfeifferi, 915 nucleotides. NCBI's taxonomy places the organism in Eukaryota, Metazoa, Mollusca, Gastropoda, Planorbidae. The record is from the annotation of a GenBank genome assembly.